GUUGGGUUUGGGUGCAGGCACCUGCCGAUUAGUUUCUUUCUGAAUUCCUCUCCUCAGCCUAGCAGAGCCUCUAAUAAGGUAGCGUUACCUGAGCAUCAGUAUUAACAUGGCCUCCUCUUUCCGAGCAUUCUUGAACAGCCCAGUUGGUCCAAAAACAGCCCAUUUUUGCGGACCUGUUGCCAAUUGGGGAUUUGUUGCUGCGGGGCUGGCAGACAUGAACAAACCUCCAGAAAUGAUCUCCGGCAACAUGACAGCAGGUUGAAACUAUGUAUACUCCUGAGAAUUUGGAAUUAGACACUUGAGUGGAGUUCCAUAGGUGUUUGCUAUCAAGCUUUCCAAUAAUAUAUGGAGGACAUUUGAAGAGCUAAAGAUGUAAUAUCCACUUAUUAUAUAUGUUUUUACAAAGAAAAUAUGAUAGCAAAUUCCCAAUAAGUGCACCUAAGUUCGGUCUGUGUUUGAUAAGGCUAAAUCUUCCCUCUAGCCCGUGUUGGUGCCACAGCAAUGUGUGCAUAUUCAGCUUUGUUCAUGAGAUUUGCGUGGAUGGUUCAACCACGCAACUAUCUGGUGCUCGCUUGUCAUGCUUCCAAAGAGACUGUGCAGCUAUACCAACUCUCCCGCUGGGCAAAGGGGAACGGGUACUUGUCAGAGAAGAACGGAGAAGCUGAGUCCAAGUAAAUGGAUCCUGAUUUUGCUGUUGCUAUGCACAUCUUAGUGAAAUAGUCUGACCAGCAGAGUCAUGUAAAGCAGCAUGUUGCCCUUGAUCAUUCAAAU
Prosopis cineraria is the source of this 771-nucleotide long non-coding RNA. RefSeq lists it as uncharacterized. The transcript has 4 exons. The record is from RefSeq and is a predicted model, not a curated record. NCBI's taxonomy places the organism in Eukaryota, Viridiplantae, Streptophyta, Magnoliopsida, Fabales, Fabaceae.